This 69-nucleotide transfer RNA is filed under the name Bos taurus (domestic cattle). It matches the Rfam family "tRNA". Rfam says of the family: Transfer RNA (tRNA) molecules are approximately 80 nucleotides in length. Their secondary structure includes four short double-helical elements and three loops (D, anti-codon, and T loops). The record is from Rfam by way of RNAcentral. RNAcentral also lists the same sequence under 4 other names. Lineage: Eukaryota; Metazoa; Chordata; Mammalia; Artiodactyla; Bovidae.
CCUGGUGGCUUAGAUGGUAAAGCAUCUGCCUACAAUGCAGGAGACCCGGGUUUGAUCCCUGGGUCAGGA